UGGGGAAUUUUGCACAAUGGGGGAAACCCUGAUGCAGCGACGCCGCGUGAUUUAGAAGGCCUUCGGGUUGUAAAAAUCUUUUCUAUGGGAAGAAAAUGACAGUACCAUAGGAAUAAGGACCGGCUAAUUACGUGCCAGCAGCCGCGGUAAUACGUAAGGUCCGAGCGUUGUCCGGAAUCAUUGGGCGUAAAGGGUACGUAGGCGGGUAAGCAAGUUAGAAGUGAAAUCCUGUAGCUCAACUACAGUAAGCUUUUAAAACUGCUCAUCUUGGGUUAUGGAAGGGAAAGUGGAAUUCCGAGUGGAGCGGUGAAAUGCGCAGAUAUAAGGAGGAAUACCGGUGGCGAAGGCGGCUUUCUGGCCAAAAUCUGACGCUGAGGUACGAAAGCGGGGGUAGCAAACAGG
RNAcentral lists this ribosomal RNA (402 nucleotides) under Verrucomicrobiota bacterium. Its description in RNAcentral is "Verrucomicrobia bacterium partial 16S ribosomal RNA". It matches the Rfam family "Bacterial small subunit ribosomal RNA", at positions 355 to 776 of the family's 1533-position model. The record is from RNAcentral. Lineage: Bacteria; Pseudomonadati; Verrucomicrobiota.